Molecule: ribosomal RNA, 240 nt
Filed under: uncultured bacterium
Lineage: Bacteria
Description: partial 16S ribosomal RNA
Rfam family: Bacterial small subunit ribosomal RNA
Source: RNAcentral
UGAGGAACAUGACUUUCGGCGGGGGAUAGCCGGCCCAACGGCCGGGUAAUACCGCGUACGACCUUUUGGGGACAUCCCCGAUUGGUGAAAGCAGCAAUGCGCCGAAAAGAGUGCCUCGCGGCCUAUCAGCUAGUUGGUGGGGUAAUGGCCCACCAAGGCUACGAUCAGUAGCUGGUCUGAGAGGAUGAUCAGCCACAUUGGGACUGAGACACGGCCCAAAACUCCGUACGGGAGGNAGCG